This 77-nucleotide transfer RNA is filed under the name Candidatus Saccharimonadota bacterium. RNAcentral's name for it is "tRNA-Val". It matches the Rfam family "tRNA". From Rfam's summary of the family: Transfer RNA (tRNA) molecules are approximately 80 nucleotides in length. Their secondary structure includes four short double-helical elements and three loops (D, anti-codon, and T loops). RNAcentral also lists the same sequence under 1 other name. Lineage: Bacteria; Candidatus Saccharimonadota. The record is from RNAcentral.
GGAUCCUUAGCUCAGUUGGCUAGAGCGUACGAUUCACAUUCGUAAGGUCACAGGUUCAAGCCCUGUAGGAUCCACCA